This 736-nucleotide ribosomal RNA is filed under the name human gut metagenome. RNAcentral's name for it is "bacterial SSU rRNA". It matches the Rfam family "Bacterial small subunit ribosomal RNA", at positions 772 to 1520 of the family's 1533-position model. The record is from RNAcentral.
AUAGGAUUAGAUACCCUAGUAGUCCACGCCGUAAACGAUGAAUACUAAGUAUUGGGGAAACUCAGUGCUGCAGCUAACGCAAUAAGUAUUCCGCCUGUGGAGUAUGCACGCAAGUGUGAAACAUAAAGGAAUUGACGGGGGCCCGCACAAGCGGUGGAGUAUGUGGUUUAAUUCGACGCAACGCGAAGAACCUUACCAGGCCUUGACAUCCCUUGCAAAGCUGUAGAGAUACAGUAGAGGUUAUCAAGGAGACAGGUGGUGCAUGGUUGUCGUCAGCUCGUGUCGUGAGAUGUUGGGUUAAGUCCCGCAACGAGCGCAACCCUUGCCUUCAGUUACCAGCAUUCAGUUGGGGACUCUGGAGGGACUGCCGGUGAUAAACCGGAGGAAGGUGGGGAUGACGUCAAAUCAUCAUGCCCCUUAUGGCCUGGGCUACACACGUACUACAAUGGCUGUUACAACGUGCAGCGACCUAGCGAUAGGAAGCGAAUCACUAAAAGACAGUCUCAGUUCGGAUUGAAGUCUGCAACUCGACUUCAUGAAGCUGGAAUCGCUAGUAAUCGCGGAUCAGAAUGCCGCGGUGAAUACGUUCUCGGGCCUUGUACACACCGCCCGUCAUACCAUGAGAGCUGGUAAUACCCGAAGCCGGUGGCCUAACCGCAAGGAAGGAGCCGUCGAAGGUAGGACUAGUGAUUGGGGUCAAGUCGUAACAAGGUAUCCCUACGAGAACGUGGGGAUG